GUGCCAGCCGCCGCGGUAAAACGUAGGGGACAAGCGUUAUCCGGAUUUACUGGGCGUAAAGCGCAUGUAGGUGGCUUGACAAGUUGGACGUGAAAGCUCCCGGCUUAACUGGGAGAGGUCGUUCAAAACUGGCAGGCUAGAGGUUGGAAGAGGAGAGCGGAAUUCCCGGUGUAGUGGUGGAAUGCGUAGAUAUCGGGAGGAACACCAGUGGCGAAAGCGGCUCUCUGGUUCAAUACUGACACUGAGAUGCGAAAGCGUGGGGAGCGAACGGGAUUAGAUACCCCCGUAGUCC
This 292-nucleotide ribosomal RNA is filed under the name uncultured bacterium. RNAcentral describes it as "partial 16S ribosomal RNA". It matches the Rfam family "Bacterial small subunit ribosomal RNA", at positions 505 to 796 of the family's 1533-position model. The record is from RNAcentral.